Camelus ferus (Wild Bactrian camel) is the source of this 72-nucleotide transfer RNA. It matches the Rfam family "tRNA". From Rfam's summary of the family: Transfer RNA (tRNA) molecules are approximately 80 nucleotides in length. NCBI's taxonomy places the organism in Eukaryota, Metazoa, Chordata, Mammalia, Artiodactyla, Camelidae. The record is from Rfam.
AAGGGUAUAGCUCAGUGGCAGAGUGCAUGCUUAGCAUUCACGAGGUCCUGGGCUCAAUCCCUAGUACCUCCA